UCCAGGUCGCCCAGCAGGCCCAACAUCCGUCUGAGCAAGAAUGAUAAGAGGGAGCUCCUGGAAAUUGCAAGAGCCAACGCCGCCAGGGCCCUCGGGGUGGAUGACUUGGAACUGCCGGACAGCGUGAAGGCCGAGCUGCUGGCGGACGGGCGGGAGAAAGGGGUGAGGCGAGAGAGUACCACUCUGAAGGGUCUGAAGGAGGUAGGUGCGAUGUGUAUUGGAGAACUUUUCUCGGGUAGCUGUGCUCCAAGCGUGAACAGGCAACAUGGGAAUGUCCGCUGUGAACUGGGGGCGGCGAUGAGACGGAAUUGUUAAGUAGACUCCCGUUCCUUCUUUCCCAGUGUUGCGCCCCUAAGCAGAUGAUGCCGCAAAGCGUCCGAGGAUGAUGGGCACGUUAGGCAUUCUCUGACUGGCCUUGCCAUGUUUCUGCCACAUAGGCACGUACGUGGUUAUGGUGAGGAUAACGUUUCCCAGCCAGUUUGUGCUAUUUGACUGGAUGGUUUGAGGAAAAAUACUGGGCCAGUGGUUCUAUGUAGCUAGGGAUUAAGCUAGCUCCUAGUCUUAGUCCCAUGUUUCCUGUUGGGUUACAGCAGUGUGUUGUGUAGUAGAGCUUUUGGGAGCUCUGCCUCAACCUCUGAUUCAGUUAGAUCAUGUUUAAAUUCAGUUGGUUUAAGUUGGAUUCUUCUUCACGGCGUAGUUAAUAUCAGUAACAAAACUUAAAUUGAUUUAAGCAUGAAAGCAACUACUGAAAUGGUCUAGAAUCAUAUAUGAGCUGUAUUUUAUUCAUGGUCUGCUGACACUUUGUUGCAUUGUCUGCAGUGGGAUUUUACUUAUUCUCCAAACUACUACACAAAAAUCUGCUAUUGUCUUUUUUUCCUCCCAUACUGUUUUCAGGUAAAAGAUUAGACUUUCAUGCUCUAUUUCUGUUUUAUAGAAAACUUGAGUGUGGUCUUCAGUGCCUUGGUGAAGAGAAUAAGGUGGUAAUGCGUGGCAUGGUGUUUUGGGGAGGGUUGAAUUUGUUGAUGACCAAAAAACAUAAUUUUAUGGGUGAAUUGUAGAAAACUAGUUUUUCAGGUCCUUUAAGUGAGUACUGUGUACUUUGCGGAUUUAAUCUUAAUGUUUUUAUUUUUGUAUAUGUAUUAGUAUGCCUUAGUACUAUAUAACUGAUUUUAUUCAUGUUUACAUGAUUAAUAGAACUUUCAGCUCUUUGAACAAGCUGAAGACUCCCAGGUUUCAAAUGUUAUUUUUUACACUGUAUUCCAGAUAAGAGAUCUUGUUAAAGAAGAAGAGCCAAGCUGCUUAUGCCAAAGAUAAGUUAUUUGCACAAAUAGUGCUGGGUUGAAUCUCAAUGUGAAGAAAAAGCCUUUGGUACACAGAAAUGAGAAUGGUACCUUCUAGAAAAACGCGUCGUGGAAGAGAUUAGGUGCAUAUUGCACCAAUUCACUUUUUAGAGUUCCAAGAAGUGAUUCGGAAUAAAUGGUUCUCAUUUGUCAAAUGUAUGAGGCUCUGCACCCAUACCCUGUAGUAACAAGGUUAAACUGUGGAAUGAGCAGGUUUGUAGUAGUGUAUUUACUAUAUAUUCAAAGAAAUUGGGUACUGAUGACUUACCUUAAUAAAGAAGUGGCACAUCUUAAUCUUUCAUGCAUGUAAUGUUACUGAAGUUUCUGAUCUUAAUGUCUUAAGUAGAAUAUUGCUCAGAUACUAUUACCAAGUCUAAAAUGGCAUUUGUUUUCUUCUUGCAGCAUAAUAAAAAGACUGAAGCAGAAGAGGAGUCUCCUUACACGGAGAUGUCACCUAAAAACAAGUUGAUUGUUUUCAGCCCAAAAAAUGCUGUGGCAAAGCCAUCAUAUUGCACACAACCAGGCAGUCCUGAAUCCACAGUCAAGUUUGAAAGCAAGAAAAACGGAUACCCUUAUGGACUUUGGGUACCAGUCGCUCAACAAGCAAAAACUAAUGGGCUGUUUUCAAAUAUAUCUCCCAAAAAUUCCUUCAUAAAGACGCGGUAGCUUCAGGAGCAAGUGUUUCUGUAAAUUUAAUGUAUUUUUUUGUACAUAGAAUUUAUAUUAUAUGGGGAGGGUGGGCUGUUAAAAAUGGUUUUAAAUAUUAGAUGUUUUCUUUCAGAUGUUAUGUGAAAUGAAGACUGGACAAGAUUUCAUACAGGUGGGAAUUUUAAUCUAAACUUGUUACAGUGAGUGUUUUGCAUUUGUAUUUUUUUUCAUCCUCUUGGUCCUUGAAUAAAAAUAAAUUUGAAACUGGG
This is a non-coding RNA of Lepisosteus oculatus (spotted gar), 2257 nucleotides long. Lineage: Eukaryota; Metazoa; Chordata; Actinopteri; Semionotiformes; Lepisosteidae. The record is from RefSeq and is a predicted model, not a curated record.